This 253-nucleotide ribosomal RNA is filed under the name uncultured bacterium. Its description in RNAcentral is "partial 16S ribosomal RNA". It matches the Rfam family "Bacterial small subunit ribosomal RNA", at positions 524 to 776 of the family's 1533-position model. The record is from RNAcentral.
UACGAAGGGGGCUAGCGUUGCUCGGAAUCACUGGGCGUAAAGGGUGCGUAGGCGGGUCUUUAAGUCAGGGGUGAAAUCCUGGAGCUCAACUCCAGAACUGCCUUUGAUACUGAAGAUCUUGAGUUCGGGAGAGGUGAGUGGAACUGCGAGUGUAGAGGUGAAAUUCGUAGAUAUUCGCAAGAACACCAGUGGCGAAGGCGGCUCACUGGCCCGAUAAUGACGCUGAGGCACGAAAGCGUGGGGAGCAAACAGG